Molecule: transfer RNA, 87 nt
Filed under: bacterium
Lineage: Bacteria
Also listed under: 1 other name
Description: tRNA-Leu
Rfam family: tRNA
About the family: Transfer RNA (tRNA) molecules are approximately 80 nucleotides in length.
Source: RNAcentral
GCGCGGGUGACGUAAUUGGUAGCCGUGCAAGCUUGAGGGGCUUGUGGCCGCAAGGCCGUGGAGGUUCGAGUCCUCUCCCGCGCACCA